RNAcentral lists this ribosomal RNA (253 nucleotides) under uncultured bacterium. Its description in RNAcentral is "partial 16S ribosomal RNA". It matches the Rfam family "Bacterial small subunit ribosomal RNA", at positions 524 to 776 of the family's 1533-position model. The record is from RNAcentral.
UACGGGGGGGGCAAGCGUUGUUCGGAAUUACUGGGCGUAAAGGGUCUGUAGGUGGCCCACUAAGUCAGAUGUGAAAUCCCUCAGCUUAACUGGGGAACUGCGUCUGAUACUGGUCGGCUUGAGUGCAGGAGAGGAACGCGGAAUUCCAGGUGUAGCGGUGAAAUGCGUAGAUAUCUGGAGGAACACCGGUGGCGAAGGCGGCGUUCUGGACUGCAACUGACACUGAGAGACGAAAGCCAGGGGAGCAAACGGG